Molecule: transfer RNA, 72 nt
Filed under: Ovis aries (sheep)
Lineage: Eukaryota; Metazoa; Chordata; Mammalia; Artiodactyla; Bovidae
Rfam family: tRNA
About the family: Transfer RNA (tRNA) molecules are approximately 80 nucleotides in length. Their secondary structure includes four short double-helical elements and three loops (D, anti-codon, and T loops).
Source: Rfam by way of RNAcentral
UCCCAGUUAGCUCAGCUGGUAAAGAAUCGGCCUGCAAGGCAGGAGACCUGGGUUCGAUCCCUGGGUUGGGAA